Non-coding RNA from Callithrix jacchus (white-tufted-ear marmoset), 867 nucleotides. Lineage: Eukaryota; Metazoa; Chordata; Mammalia; Primates; Cebidae. The record is from RefSeq and is a predicted model, not a curated record.
CUCCAACCUGGAAGAACGAGCAAAACUCUGUCUCAAAAAAAAAAAAAAAGGCUGUUAACAUUUUGGUAUUGGGAGAUUAUAGAAACAAAAUAAUUACAGAGUAUGAUACAUUUCAAAAUCUCAAAGUAUGAAACCUAGAAUAAAAAAUGUUCAGAGAGAUUCCAGCAUGUUCAUAGCAUGUGUACAGAUGGCUUUUAAUGUUAGCUAAAAGUAUUGUAUUGGUAAGUAUUGAUGAUAAGUAUUAACUUAUGUUUGUUUCUUUUCAUGUAGUAAAAGAAUGUGUGGAUCAUUUAAGUAGAGAUGAGGAUGAAGAGAAACUUGUAGCCUCAUUAUGGGGAGCAGAGAGAUGUUUACGAGUUUUAGAAAGUGUAAUUGUGCUUAAUCCUGAAAAUCAAAGCUACUUGAUAGCAUAUAAAGAUUCCCAACUUAUUGUUUCAUCAGCUAAAGCAUUACAGCAUUGUGAAGAACUGAUUCAGCAGUACAACCGCGCUGAGGACAGCAUAUGCUUAGCUGACAGUAAGCCUCUGCCUCACCAGAAUGUAACCAUGUGGGCAAAGCAGUGGAGGACUGCAUGAGGGCCAUCAUUGGGGUGUUGCUCAAUUUAACUAAUGAUAAUGAGUGGGGCAGCACCAAAACAGGACAGCAGGAUGGUCUCAUAGGCACAGCGUUAAACUGUGUGCUUCAGGUUCCAAAGUACCUACCUCAGGAGCAGAGAUUUGAUAUCGAGUGCUGGUUAAGUUGAAAUGACUUUUUCAGGAAGAGUAUUGUAUCUAGUAAGGUGUGCAAAAUGUUCACCUUAGUUUGGGUUUAAGAACCAAUCCUUUAAUAUUGUGGUUGUUUUCAUGAAUUUCCUAAUGAACAUACUUU